Molecule: ribosomal RNA, 468 nt
Filed under: uncultured bacterium
Lineage: Bacteria
Description: partial 16S ribosomal RNA
Rfam family: Bacterial small subunit ribosomal RNA
Source: RNAcentral
GACGAACGCUGGCGGCGUGCUUAACACAUGCAAGUCGAACGGAAAGGCCCUGCUUUUGUUGUGUGCUCGAGUGGCGAACGGGUGAGUCACACGUGAAUAACCUGCCCUUUACUUUGGGAUAACGGCAAUAAACUUGGGCUAAUACCGGAUAUGAGCUCCUGCUGCAUGGUGGGGUUUGGAAAGUUUCGGCGGUUGGGGUAGGACUCGCGGCUUAUCAGCUUGUUGGUGGGGUAGUGGCUUACCAAGGCUUUGACGGGUAGCCGGCCUGAGAGGGUGACCGGCCACAUUGGGACUGAGAUACGGCGCAGACUCCUACGGGAGGCAGCAGUGGGGAAUAUUGCACAAUGGGCGGAAGCCUGAGGCAGCAACGCCGCGUGCGGGAUGACGGCCUUCGGGUUGUAAACCGCUUUCGCCUGGGACGAAGCGUGAGUGACGGUAAUGGGUAAAGAAGCACCGGCUAACUACGUG